GGGCGAAUAGCUCAGUUGGGAGAGCAUCUGCCUUACAAGCAGAGGGUCGGGGGUUCGAACCCCUCUUCGCCCACCA
Molecule: transfer RNA, 76 nt
Filed under: Marinobacterium iners
Lineage: Bacteria; Pseudomonadati; Pseudomonadota; Gammaproteobacteria; Oceanospirillales; Oceanospirillaceae
Also listed under: 35 other names
Description: Marinobacterium georgiense tRNA-Val
Rfam family: tRNA
About the family: Transfer RNA (tRNA) molecules are approximately 80 nucleotides in length. Their secondary structure includes four short double-helical elements and three loops (D, anti-codon, and T loops). Further hydrogen bonds mediate the characteristic L-shaped molecular structure. tRNAs have two regions of fundamental functional importance: the anti-codon, which is responsible for specific mRNA codon recognition, and the 3' end, to which the tRNAs corresponding amino acid is attached (by aminoacyl-tRNA synthetases). tRNAs cope with the degeneracy of the genetic code in two manners: having more than one tRNA (with a specific anti-codon) for a particular amino acid; and 'wobble' base-pairing, i.e. permitting non-standard base-pairing at the 3rd anti-codon position.
Source: RNAcentral